AGGACGAACGCUGGCGGCGUGCUUAACACAUGCAAGUCGAGCGGAAAGGCCCUUCGGGGUACUCGAGCGGCGAACGGGUGAGUAACACGUGAGUAAUCUGCCCCUAGCUCUGGGAUAGCUCCGGGAAAACCGGGAUUAAUACCGGAUACGACCACUUUAGACAUCUGUUGUGGUGGAAAGAAUUUUGGCUAGGGAUGAGCUCGCGGCCUAUCAGCUUGUUGGUGGGGUAAUGGCCUACCAAGGCGACGACGGGUA
This 255-nucleotide ribosomal RNA is filed under the name uncultured bacterium. RNAcentral's name for it is "partial small subunit ribosomal RNA". It matches the Rfam family "Bacterial small subunit ribosomal RNA", at positions 26 to 285 of the family's 1533-position model. The record is from RNAcentral.